This is a long non-coding RNA of Aedes albopictus (Asian tiger mosquito), 360 nucleotides long. RefSeq lists it as uncharacterized. The record is from RefSeq and is a predicted model, not a curated record. NCBI's taxonomy places the organism in Eukaryota, Metazoa, Arthropoda, Insecta, Diptera, Culicidae. The transcript has 3 exons.
ACCCCACUAACACAAACAAAUCCGACCAACCAAACACCACCAACUAUAAACACCCCACAGUAACCCCAAUCUGGCGAACAAGAACAGAAGUGUUCCCAAAGUGCCAAGUGUUGCGACUCGAACGGUUAAACGUACCACCCACCCACCAUCUCAACCAGGGUGCUGGUUGGUCUAAUGUUACAAGUGCGGUGCCCGAACCCAAUGCAAACGACAUUCCACCGUGUGAUCAACACGAUCUUCACAAGUUGAUUCAUAUCGAGCCCUGAUGAAGAUCCCAACCAUAGGAUCGAAACGUAGGCAAUGAUUUAGAAUAAUCAACGCUUUUUCUGUGACUGAAAGCCGAAAACCUACCAAGUUUCU